GCGCGAUUAGCUCAGUUGGUAGAGCAAUCCCUUUACACGGGAAAGGCCGGGGGUUCAAGUCCCUCAUCGCGCA
RNAcentral lists this transfer RNA (73 nucleotides) under Patescibacteria group bacterium. RNAcentral's name for it is "tRNA-Val". It matches the Rfam family "tRNA". Rfam says of the family: Transfer RNA (tRNA) molecules are approximately 80 nucleotides in length. Their secondary structure includes four short double-helical elements and three loops (D, anti-codon, and T loops). The record is from RNAcentral.